UUUGGCUGUCUGAUACACUUGUAAUCCAUUCAAUGGAUUUAUGUACAGGCUUAAUAAAGGAGAGUAAUUCUCUACUGAAAAAAAAUACAGGGAAUUUCCCCUUAGAAUAUUUUGACAACCAGUCCAGAGCAAGUUAUGACCCAGGUCACAUGAAAUGUUGCCUGAUAAUAUACUUUUGGGUAACUGAGAAGAGAAGCCUUUAUUAAACCUGUGUGGUGCUAUCAAGUUGACUGUUCUUACAGGUUAUCUACAAUCUACUCUAUCUUACCUUGCCUAUUUUGUCUCAGCUAAGAAGAUUCUGCAAGAGUACUUUCCAAUGCCCAAAAAUAAUCAAGUGAAACCUCCAGAAUAUUUAUCCAUCCAAUCUGCUCUGCUUCAGUAGCUGAAUUAGAGGAGGUCGGAACUUUGGGGUCUCAGGAGUUCUGCUCACCACCCAGAAUGCGGUUUUGAAGUCCCAAUGGUCUUUCUGGCAUGCCAUACCUGGAACCUUGAUGAAGACUAUGUAGGUUUUUUUCCCAGUUUGGAUUGAGUCUGCUGUUGCGGUAUGGCACGUUUUGGACAUAUCUGAUUCAUUGGAAACAUGACCAGUGGAUCGAACCACCACAAGUGUUAUCAUUGUUAUGAUGUGUUGCAGUGAAAGUGCAGAGAAAUUGAUGAACAGGUUACCAGUGACAACCUGAAAGAACAGCCUCCACAUGAAAAAGUCACAGCUGAAGGUCCCCUAGGAUGUAAAGGAGAUACCAAAGACUCAGAGUCUAACAUCCUCAAUGCCACUUCCACCAGAUGAAUAAGGUCAGUGUCACCACAGACUGUGGAUAUCCCAGUGCACCAUUACAGAAUAUAUCAUCCUUUGGAAUGGGGCCUACAUCCUGAGAGGGUGACCUUCCUAUCCCGGUGACUGUCACAGAGACAGCAGUACUAAACUUUCAUGCAACUGUCUACUUCCAAGGAUCCACUGAGGAUCUGUGUGAGAUCUCUCAAUUCUUGACCCACAAAUGUAUCAAUGUAAUUUGUGUCAAAUAACUCCACUUCAUCUGCUUUCCCUUUAGUGAGGUCAGUCAGCAGCCUGGCCAGUUGGUUUUGGCAACAUUGCUGGCCUUCCCCAGGUGAGGGCACUAUAGGCUCUGCACACUGAAACACAUUGAGAGGACCAUAUCAUAAAGCAGCUGUGUUCGUGAACAGAAAGGAUUCUAUUCCAUCAAUGUGUAAGCCAUCUGUGAUCAUCAGUACCACAUCUUAGGAAUCUGCCUCAGUUACCAUUGGAUCUGCCACGAAACAUACAUACAAAAGAAUUGUCAUGUUCGUGCUUUGUUUUAUGGGCUAUGUGCUUUAUAAGGUCCCACCAGACUGAUGGAAGCAUUGGAACCUCAUCUUCAGGAGGUCAAUUAUUUGUUCCAUGAUGGCUGUGAUUGAAGAAUGGGCUGCAUUAUAUUUACAUUCAUCCACAGUCUAGGGGUCAACAAUGGUAUCAUCGACUAUGUUUACAAAGGGUAGUCCUUGUCUCCCAACAGCCUGGUCUGAAUUGUAACGAUGCUACAAAGCAGAAUUGAUGUGUGAGGAAUGAAGUAUAAGUGAAUGUGUGAUAACAGUGGUGGCUGUUGGUUUUGGAGUAAAGACAGAAGUUCAGAAUACUGAUUGAUACAUUAUUUACGUAUAAGGGUGUGAAUUAGCCGAGCUUUGGACAGAGACUGUCACAACAGCAAAACUGUAUUGUGAAAUCCUUUCUAUACAUUUCGCUGAAAGGUAUAAGAAAGUCAACAGCAAGCUGCAUAACUUGGAAAUACCUAUGAUGUGUUGUUAAAAUUCAGUGGAACAGAUUUAAACAAUUGGAGUCACAGAAAGAUUUUGCAAUGGAUAUUCCAGACUAUUCCAAAUACCAUGAUAUUCCAGAAUGUGAGUAUUCAGAAACUUCAGUUAAAAUCUGAUGGAAGUAAUUUUAAUUUAUUCAUUUGAGACUCAAUUGUAACAGCUGGAUGUCUGAUGACAAACAGUUGGAUGAAAUAAUAUUAUAAACCACUCUUCCUUUUUGAAAAGA
Non-coding RNA from Chiloscyllium plagiosum (whitespotted bambooshark), 2035 nucleotides. The record is from RefSeq and is a predicted model, not a curated record. Lineage: Eukaryota; Metazoa; Chordata; Chondrichthyes; Orectolobiformes; Hemiscylliidae.